RNAcentral lists this long non-coding RNA (1145 nucleotides) under Rhinopithecus bieti (black snub-nosed monkey). RNAcentral describes it as "lncRNA (ENSRBIG00000045347.1)". The record is from RNAcentral. Lineage: Eukaryota; Metazoa; Chordata; Mammalia; Primates; Cercopithecidae.
CUCCUAUCCACCAACUGCCCUUGGGUAAUAGGACCCACUCUUGGGUGUGGCAAGGACAGGCGGGAUGUCCACCACAUCCAUGCCUCUUCCCGACACAGGAUACUACUGCACCCCAAACCCCCUUGCAGCUGGGCUGGGACCUGUGACUGCGUUUUGACCCAAAUGUUCCUGAACUGUUCUCAAGACUUUGAUGCUCUUUGGCUGGCAGGCACCUAAGGAGGAGGCCAGAAGAAAUGACAGCACCACGAGAUGGAAGAUCCUGGCAGAUCCUGGCUUGCACCUGAAUUGUACCCCUUGGUCUGGCCUUGCCAGCAUAGGCAGGACCCCUGCCGAAUCCAGUCCGAGCUGUAGGAGGCUGGUACUGUGUAGAGCAUCUGCAGGCCCCCAGGCCUGUCCCCAGCUUCGCCGCUGCCCCCUCCACACAGACCCCAGCGGCAGAGCCUUGCUGUGUGGAGUGUCGCACGUGCCACUGCAUGGACGCCCUUUGAGAGUCUGCAGGGAAUGCUGGCGGGAGUCAUCGUAUGGUGAGCCGUGGUCCACGUCCAGAUCCAUCUCAACUUGUAAAAUGGAUUUUUUAAAGGUGUUAAACCUUCCUUCACCUCAAACACAGUCUUUCUGAUGGGCCUGCAAUGUUGAUAAGUUCUUGCGGGCAGACGCCAAGGAGAGGAAGGCCUGGGCGGUGCAGCUGUGGGAAGCAGGCCGCUCUUCCUGUAGCCUUGCCACACCACGACCUGCCCAUGAGCAGGGAGAGUCCAGACCACGUCCUUCCCCUCCUCCCUCCCCUCCUGGGCAUCGCACCAGAUAGACAAGGGUGGAUGUGGACCGACACAAGCUGCCUAAAGCCAGAGGCCGGCACCCAACUGGCUCCCGAUGGUCCUCAGUUAUUCAUUGCUUGGUUGAAAGUGAGGUUAAGAAACCAGUUCCCUGUAGAUUCCACGAGUGAUUGCAGCAGGGAGUGGACCUCGGCCAACGUGGAACCACCACCGCAGUCCCAAGACGCGUGUGUUUCGGUGAACUUCGUCAUAAGAUUACAUCAUCUUCAUAUUUUUGUUUGCAACGAGGAACGCACAGGAUGUAAUAUGAUGGGUGUCAGUCAGAUACCAGAAAAGGAAGAGGCAGUACUGUCAAGAUUUUUCAACAGUUAG